UUGGUCAUCUAUCUUUUGUGAUUUCCUCUUUCUUGCUGUGCUUCACAGGAAUAUUCACAUAACAGCACUUCAUCUUUGACCUGAACACUUCUUACUCCUUCCUAAUUUGCCAGAUUAUGCAUGUUUUGAAAUGGGAUUUGCUAGAAUUUUUAUUCCAUCUUAAGUGAAAUAUCUUUAGCUGCUGAGGAAAGUAGGAUUUUUACUUUCAGCAGAGUUCUCCAGGGUCUGAUAAUCACUCUGAGCUGCCUGUGUGCUGGCACUGCUGUGUUUUCAGCAAAAGCAGGGUAAGGCCAUUACUGAGUAUGUCACACAUCAGCAGUGAUUCCUGUCCCUGGGAGCCAGCCCUGUUACCUGUCACUGGUGUAGUUAUUGCAAACUGCUGUUGCUAACUUUUAGAAGAUCAGGGGCCUUUCUUAAAUCCCUGAGCCAUUACGUAAGAAUGAUAACUUGGCAUAUUUAGAUUUCUUGGUUCUAAUGGCUGCAGAGAAAAGCUAACAAUAGAAACAUUUAAAGAUGCUGGACCAUGAGUCAAAUGCAAAAAGGAACCCAAAAUGUGUUACUCAGGUUUGGGUUUUCUCUUACAGGAGCGGGUGAAGAAAGUGGUUCUGCCUUGCUGGCAGGGUCUGAGCCUGGUCAUACCAACUGCCUUCAUCAUUUGUCCUUCACACCACUGUCAGCCAAACACUCCUGAUAGAAAGUCUCAACUUCAGUUCACCUGGAAAAAAUGUACCCAGUAGGAAGCCCUGUCCUAACAACCUAGGAUUUCAAGGGUAUCUCUUAUAAAGGUCUUGUAAAUCCCAUCUUCAAAUUUCUUGAAAUAUUAAUUUUCCUUUACCUACAUAGACCCUUUAUAACUGUGCUGUAAUAUUAUUAUUUAAUACCUAGCUUUUGUUUUUCUUCCUUUGAGAACCAGCAGGGACAAGUCUGUGUGUCGGUCUGAUAAAGAACCUUAGCUGUGCUACAAUGCAGGCACUGGGAAUUUCAUGUUCCAGAAUAGAGGUCUUUCCAGAGAAAUCUGUUUCAGAUGUGUCUGUGCACUCUUCAGCUGUGGUGGCCACUUAAUGAGUGAGGGUCUGAACUGUGGUGUCCUGAUAGUGGCUUUUCUGUCAUUGGAGCAGCUGUGAAUUGGAGCAGAAAUUGUUUCUUGUACCAUCGUUCCCAAGGCAGGCAGGCAAGUACUUGCUUGUCUUGAUGAGGCUGUGCCACAUGCGUUGUAUUAGCAUGCCAGAAUAAAUACACUUCAGGUACAGACA
This 1253-nucleotide long non-coding RNA is filed under the name Cyanistes caeruleus (blue tit). Its description in RNAcentral is "lncRNA (ENSCCEG00000014552.1)". Lineage: Eukaryota; Metazoa; Chordata; Aves; Passeriformes; Paridae. The record is from RNAcentral.